This 141-nucleotide ribosomal RNA is filed under the name uncultured eukaryote. Its description in RNAcentral is "partial 18S ribosomal RNA". It matches the Rfam family "Eukaryotic small subunit ribosomal RNA", at positions 1299 to 1458 of the family's 1831-position model. The record is from RNAcentral.
UGGUGGAGUGAUUUGUCUGGUUAAUUCCGUUAACGAACGAGACCUCAGCCUGUUAAAUAGUCAUGCGAACGCUCGCGUUCGCAGCUGACUUCUUAAAGGGACUGUUGGCGUUUAGCCAACUGUAAGCUUGAGGCAAUAACA